This 269-nucleotide ribosomal RNA is filed under the name uncultured prokaryote. Its description in RNAcentral is "partial 16S ribosomal RNA". It matches the Rfam family "Bacterial small subunit ribosomal RNA", at positions 524 to 792 of the family's 1533-position model. The record is from RNAcentral.
UACGUAGGGGGAAAGCGUUGUCCGGAAUUAUUGGGCGUAAAGAGCGCGCAGGUGGUUGAUUAAGUCUGAUGUGAAAGCCCACGGCUUAACCGUGGAGGGUCAUUGGAAACUGGUCGACUUGAGUGCAGAAGAGGGAAGUGGAAUUCCAUGUGUAGCGGUGAAAUGCGUAGAGAUAUGGAGGAACACCAGUGGCGAAGGCGGCUUCCUGGUCUGUAACUGACACUGAGGCGCGAAAGUGUGGGGAGCAAACAGGAUUAGAUACCCUGGUA